CCCUUAGAUGUUCUGGGCUGCACGCGUGUUACAAUCGGGAGUGCAACAAGAUUGCAAAUCCUAGUGGAUGAGUGGUUCUUCGAAAUUUUCUGAAGACUGGGAUAGUUGAUUGAAAUUAUUCAACUCGAACGAGGAAUUCCUUGUAAUUGUAAUUCAUUAUAUUGUAAUGAAUACGUCCCUGCCCUUUGUACACACCGCCCGUCGCUCCUACCGAUUGAACGAUCCGGUGAAUUAUUUGGAGUAGCUCUGGAAGUUGCAGAACUUCCUAUGUCACGAAAUUUUGUAAACCUUAUCGUUUAGAGGAAGGAAAAGUCGUAACA
This 320-nucleotide ribosomal RNA is filed under the name uncultured eukaryote. Its description in RNAcentral is "partial 18S ribosomal RNA". It matches the Rfam family "Eukaryotic small subunit ribosomal RNA", at positions 1470 to 1796 of the family's 1831-position model. The record is from RNAcentral.